RNAcentral lists this ribosomal RNA (355 nucleotides) under uncultured bacterium. RNAcentral's name for it is "bacterial SSU rRNA". It matches the Rfam family "Bacterial small subunit ribosomal RNA", at positions 30 to 385 of the family's 1533-position model. The record is from RNAcentral.
AUUGAACGCUGGCGGCAUGCCUUACACAUGCAAGUCGAACGGCAGCACGGGGGGCAACCCUGGUGGCGAGUGGCGAACGGGUGAGUAACAUAUCGGAACGUGCCCUGGAGUGGGGGAUAACUAGUCGAAAGAUUAGCUAAUACCGCAUACGAUCUACGGAUGAAAGUGGGGGAUCGCAAGACCUCAUGCUCGUGGAGCGGCCGAUAUCUGAUUAGCAGUUGGUGGGGUAAAGGCCUACCAAGGCAUCGAUCAGUAGCUGGUCUGAGAGGACGACCAGCCACACUGGGACUGAGACACGGCCCAGACUCCUACGGGAGGCAGCAGUGGGGAAUUUUGGACAAUGGGCGCAAGCCUG